Molecule: transfer RNA, 94 nt
Filed under: Mycoplasmopsis cynos
Lineage: Bacteria; Bacillati; Mycoplasmatota; Mycoplasmoidales; Metamycoplasmataceae
Description: tRNA-Ser
Rfam family: tRNA
About the family: Transfer RNA (tRNA) molecules are approximately 80 nucleotides in length.
Source: RNAcentral
GGGUGAUUACCCAAGUCCGGCUGAAGGGAGCAGUCUUGAAAAUCGCUGUAAGAUUUCUUCCACUGCGGGGGUUCAAAUCCCUCAUCACCCGCCA